Molecule: ribosomal RNA, 377 nt
Filed under: uncultured eukaryote
Lineage: Eukaryota
Description: partial 18S ribosomal RNA
Rfam family: Eukaryotic small subunit ribosomal RNA
Source: RNAcentral
CAAUAGCGUAUAUUAAAGUUGUUGCAGUUAAAAAGCUCGUAGUUGGAUUUCGGGGCAGCCUGGCUGGUCCGCCGCAAGGCGAGUACUGGUCAGCCGCCCUUCCUCUCGAAAGCCCCGACUGCUCUUCGUUGCAGUGGUCGGGUAGUUCGGGACGUUUACUUUGAAAAAAUUAGAGUGUUCAAGGCAGGCCUACGCCUGACUACAUUAGCAUGGAAUAAUGGAAGAGGACCUCGGUCCUAUUUUGUUGGUUUCCAGGGCCGAAGUAAUGAUUAAGAGGGACAGUUGGGGGCAUUCGUAUUUAAUUGUCAGAGGUGAAAUUCUCGGAUUUAUGAAAGACGAACAACUGCGAAAGCAUUUGCCAAGGAUGUUUUCAUUAA